This is a long non-coding RNA of Cucumis sativus (cucumber), 2377 nucleotides long. RefSeq lists it as uncharacterized. The record is from RefSeq and is a predicted model, not a curated record. Lineage: Eukaryota; Viridiplantae; Streptophyta; Magnoliopsida; Cucurbitales; Cucurbitaceae. The transcript has 2 exons.
CAUAGCGAUGAAUCUGAAUUUCUAGGGUUUCAACUACAGACUACAGACGAAGCUCUCAUCUCUCUGAGGCGAGUUGGAAAGGGCGCAAGGUUGAGAAAGUCUUCGGACAUCGGCGACUUGGAAACUAGAAAUUGAAACUUAGUGCAAAAUUCAUUCUGUUCUUGUGAAUUUGAGCUGUUCUUUAAUUUCCAAGUCCACCCAUGCCCGCUGAUUUUCUCAUCUCUUCUACCUUUUCCUUCUCCCUCGCCUCCAUCAUCACGUAUCUUAUAUUGUGUAUAAUUUUGUAUGAAGUUUGUGAAAUCAAGAUAAUGGAAUGAUGAAAUUGUACAUAACCUACUCUUAAUGUAUUAUCUACUUGCAGUAAUAUAGAGGUGCGUGUUUAAAUUCUUGGUCCCUCUUUGGAAUAAGCGUGUAUAAAUUUACCUUUUUGUGGAGCAUUUGGUUAACUGGUAGAAGAAACUUUUAGGUUUCAUUUGGGACUAGAGCUUUCUAUGGAGAGGUCUAAGCUUUGGCAAGGUCUUUAGUACCGUCGUCUACAUUUUUGUAAAUGGCUUUUAUCUCUUGUUCCUUAUUAUUGGAAUCCUUUUUGUUGUUGUUGUUUAGGGUGUCAUCUUUUUCAUUGGGUAUAAAUUCCUUUGAUAGUGGACUCCCAGUUUCACCUAUGUUGUUACAAAGAAGAUUUGGAAGAUACUGUUGAACAUGUUAGUUACUUAAGCCUUUAUUGUUUACACUGUCUUAUGUUAUUUGCAUGCAGUAUUACCAUCGAUGUUUCCUCUUAAUUACUUUGCCCCAUUUAUUAGGAGGGGUUGUCAAGUUUGUAACUAGUCAUUAUCACGUGACUUACCAUGGGGGACAUCAACGAUUGUAAUGAAGAUUUCUAUUUUUAGUUUAAUUUUUUUUUUCACGUUUUAUAUAAUUUAAAACUUAGAAAUAUUUGGAUUAGUUUGUUUUGGGUUGGUUUUGUCACAUUCUACCAAACAUCUUCUGUCCUGUUUCUGAUGGUUCGAUUGAUUAAUCUCUAGGUUUUGCUUUGGUUAUGGUAAGUUGAUUUUCAUUGGGUUUUAGUUGUUUUUAAAAUAAAUAUUUAGUGCAAGUCACACAUUUAAUUAAUAACCUGAAUGUAACAAUGGAUCCCCAUUUGGAUGGAAAUAAUUUAUGGAUUAGGUUGAUGUUUUGCUUUGUUGGGGGUUUUAUGAAAAGUUUUUGAGAAAAUUUAUUUGUUGUUCAAGAAUUUUAAGAACAUGGCAUAAGGAUUCUGUGGUGGUGUUUGGUCAAGGGAGUGAAGUUGUUUUACCUAGGGCCAUGAAGUUUGAGUAAUUGUGCUAGGCGUGAAGUUUGUCUGGGCUGUAGGAUUGUGUUACCUAGAGUUAUGUACAAUCAGGGAAGUUCCAUUAACUUCAGAACUGUCUCUCUCUGUGUCUAACAAAGACUUGGUUUUUCUUUUUUGUCAAUGCUAGAAUUAAGAUGUAAAACUUAUUUUUAUUUUUUAUUUUAUUAAUGUUUCAUAAAAUUAAUGUAUAAGGACUAUUUAUUUAUUUUCCUUUUCCUGGCAUAGUAGUAUUUGAAAAAUACAUUAGUCACAAUUACUUAAAAGGAUACAACCUUAAUAAUUUGAAAGAAAGGAUGAUUAGGCCUCAUUGACCUGGUAGAAGAGAGACAAUAGGAAAGCCAAAAGAAAUAUGGAGAGAAAUUUCAGAGAAGCAAUGAAGAAGAAGAGAAAGCUGUGCUUAAAGUUUUCAGUAAGAGGAAGUGGUGGUAAGAGCCUCAAAGAAGUGGACGAAUCUCCAGAGAAGAGAAUGGGAUACAGCUAUUGAAUAGAGAAGAGAGUGAUACUGCAGGGAGAAAGAACGGGAGAAACCUCAAGGUGCAUAGAGGGCCGUGUGGAUUGCACCAACAGAAUACUGUUGUGGUUGAAUAGGGUGAAAGGAAAUGCUGAGGGUUUAACAACCUUGCAGGGCCACACAUAGGAGUUGGCUUAAGAACACACUACAAUUGGUAGUCCACACAGGACCCGUGAAAUUCAUUGAAAACUAAACAAUUCAAAUCCUUUGAAAACACAAGGUAGAGUUUUUUCUCAGUUGGAAAACAAGAAAUUUGUGGGUAUUCAGACAAAUGUGUGUAAUUUUCCUCAAUAGUGGGUUUUCUUUUUGAGUUAUAUCAUUGUCAAUGAAAGUAAGUUCUUUUGGCAUUGGGGAAACUAGUGCUAGUGCCUGCAUUUUGUAUUUGUGAUAUCCUCAGCCUUUACAACUAUGAUGAUUGAAGCAAAAGAUUCCAUCCCCUUUGGAAUCUGUGUGUCAUGUCAACAAAGUCCAAUGACACAUCUAUUUUCUUGGAUUUUGAGUUUAACCCACUCCUACACCUUUAUCUGCACAGGGAA